Urocitellus parryii (Arctic ground squirrel) is the source of this 512-nucleotide non-coding RNA. Lineage: Eukaryota; Metazoa; Chordata; Mammalia; Rodentia; Sciuridae. The record is from RefSeq and is a predicted model, not a curated record.
CUAGUUCCGCGGCGUCCGCUCCUCCGGCAGCUCACAGCGUGUCUCGUGCGCCUGCCGCUGCGGCCCCGAUGGCUCUGUGCAACGGAGACUCCAAGCUGGAGAAUGCUGGAGGAGACCUCAAGGAUGGCUGCCACCACUACGAAGGAGCUGUUGUCAUCUUGGAUGCCGGUGCUCAGUAUGGGAAAGUCAUAGACCGGAGAGUGCGGGAACUCUUCGUACAGUCUGAAAUAUUCCCCUUGGAAACACCAGCCUUUGCCAUAAAGGAACAAGGAUUCCGUGCCAUUAUCAUCUCUGGAGGACCUAAUUCUGUGUAUGCAGAAGAUGCUCCCUGGUUUGACCCAGCAAUAUUCACCAUUGGCAAGCCUGUUCUUGGGAUUUGCUAUGGCAUGCAGAUGAUGAAUAAGGUAUUUGGAGGUACGGUGCACAAAAAAAAUGUUAGAGAAGAUGGAGUCUUCAACAUCAGUGUGGACAAUACAUGCUCAUUGUUCAGGGGCCUUCAAAAGGAGGAAAUU